Molecule: long non-coding RNA, 3211 nt
Organism: Salvelinus fontinalis (brook trout)
Lineage: Eukaryota; Metazoa; Chordata; Actinopteri; Salmoniformes; Salmonidae
Exons: 3
Source: RefSeq, a predicted model, not a curated record
ACAUUGGCGAGUAGUAUACUCGGGAGCGGUGUGCGAUGUGCCCGUCUAUGGAGUCUGACCAGAAGACUGCUUCUUCUGCCACUCCUGCGGCGCCGUUGUUUUGGGUCGCCGGCUGGGAUCCGAUCCAUUGUCCUGGGUGGUGGUCCGAACAGAGGAUCCGCUUCGGGAAAGUCGUAUUCCUGGUCGUAAUGUUGGAGGAGGAGAAACAGAGAGAAAGAACAGUCGGAAGAGAAGGAGAGUGGGAGUGGGUGGAAGGAGAGGAAAAGAAUGGAGCAGUGAGUGGUGAACCAGGGAGCAGGUGAACCCAGUAGUGGAUGGCCAUAGGCUCUCUGGCUCUUCUCUGCUCUGUGCAGGGGUCUCAGGGAGCUGGCUGGGGCCAGCCAGGCAACGGCGGAGUGGGCAGGCGAGUCGAGGCGAGGCAAAGCAGGCUCUCAUCCCUGCUGGCAAGUUGCUCCUCGGCAGCACGGAGUAGCAAAUCAAUAUGGAGGAGAGAGGCUAGCAGGGGUCGCCCAGCACUGCCCCUGGCCCUAGAGCCCAGGGACCCAGCGCUGCCAGCCCUCUCUUUCCUCUCCCAGUCCCAGAACCAGCCAACCCGCACUGUGUGUGUGUGUGUGUGUGUGUGUGUGUGUGUGUGUGUGUGUGUGUGUGUGUGUGUGUGUGUGUGUGUGUGUGUGUGUGUGUGUGUGUGUGUGUUUGAGCACGUCUGUGUGUGUGGUUCUGCCGGAGGGGCUUUCCUGGCUCAAGACCACUUGAUAUAACUUUGCCUGUGAGCGAGAGAGCGAAGGAGAGAGAGAAUAAAACAUGGACGUCAAAGGUCUUUUCCUCCUAUUUUUCCCUCUGAUUACUCGUUUCACCUGACUGUUUGAAUGAGAGUUCAGUGAAAAGGCCUCUUCCAUUGAAUUGAAUUGAACAGGCGUCUCUCGUCAGUCCCCCUCCAGUCAUGUACUGUACAGCCACCAUGCUCUCCACGUCUGAUGAACCAGGAUAAAAGGCCAAUUUGAACUACAGAUUCAGAUUAAAUCUUGCAUUUUUUGCCUCCCAUUUUCUUCCUCAUGACUCAGGUUACUAUCAGAGGAUAUGGCAAAGGUUAUUGAUCUAAAUGGAGCUGGUUUUAGUACGGUACCUUUCACUGUAUGUGGUGGUUACGUGCUGUAGUAGUAACUGACUUCACUAUACAACUGAACUGUAUUCAGGAGUGAAGGAGUCGUAAUUGAGUGAAAGAUGAAAAGGACUGUGGACAUGUUUCAUAAUGCCUGAACAGUGGCCUUCUCCACCAGUUCUAUUUUUCCUUCAUAGUUGAAGAAUCCACACAAGAAGAAGCCCUAUCUUUAGAUACUCAAAAAACAACCAAACAUUCCAAUGGAAUGAAAAUGACUCAAUCAUUGCUGAAUGGAAAGGGUGAGAUGCAAAAUGCAGAAUUUUAGUUUUUCAUUGGGGAAGAAAAGGAUUGUCCAUAUCUGCUGGGCUGGAGAGGACAAAAGGGUCAGAGCUAGUUUGGGCCUGAAACAGGAACAGCUGCACAGAGAGAGAUCUACAAACAACACAAUGAGGCAGACUUCACUUGAUGCUGAGGCUACAAUGGCGAUGCAGUGAAAGGAUCAAGCAUCAAUGUCCUGACCAGACCAGACCAGACCAGAUCUGACCUGACCUGACCUGACCAGACCUGACCUGACCAGACCUGACCAGAAUAAUGUCCUGACCAGAUCUGACCUGGCCUGAGCAGACCAGACCUGACCUGACCUGACCUGACCAGACCUGACCAGACCUGACCAGACCUGACCUGACCAGACCUGACCAGACCAGCAUAAUGUCCUGACCAGACCUGACCAGACCUGACCAGACCAGACCAGACCAGACCUGACCAGACCAGACCAGCAUAAUGUCCUGACCAGAUCUGACCUGGCCUGAGCAGACCAGACCUGACCUGACCAGACUUGACUAGACCUGACCAGACCUAACCAGACCCGACCAGCAUAAUGUCCUAACAUUUACAUUUACAUUUAAGUCAUUUAGCAGACGCUCUUAUCCAGAGCGACUUACAAAUUGGUGCAUUCACCUUAUGACAUCCAGUGGAAACCUGACCUGACCAGCAUAAUGUCCUGAACUGACCAGACCAGACCUGACCAGACCUGACCAGACCUGACCAGACCUGACCAGAUCUGACCAGCAUAACGUCCUGACCUGAACUGACCAGCAUAAUGUCCUGACCAGACCUGACCAUCAUAAUGUCCUGACCAGACCAGACCUGACCUGACCAGACCUGACCAGCAUAAUGUCCUGACCUGACCAGACCUGACCAGACCAGCAUAAUGUCCUGACCUGACCAGACCUGACCAGACCUGACCAGACCAGCAUAAUGUCCUGACCAGACAAGACCUGACCUGAUCAGACCUGACCAGACCAGACCUGACCAGCAUAAUGUCCUGACCUGACCUGACCAGACCUGACCAGACCUGACCAGACCUGACCAGACCAGACCAGCAUAAUGUCCUGACCAGACCAGCAUAAUGUACUGACCAGACCUGACAAGACCUGACCAGACCUGACCAGCAUAAUGUCCUGACCAGCCCAGACCUGACCUGACCAGACCUGACCAGACCUGACCAGACCUGACCAGACCAGCAUAAUGUCCUGACCAGACCUGACCAGACCAGCAUAAUGUCCUGACCAUACCUGACCAGACCUGACCAGACCUGACCAGCAUAAUGUCCAGACCUGACCAGACCUGACCAGACCUGACCAGAUCUGACCAGACACAGAGAAGACACAGAGAAGUGUGAUUGGAAUAAGGGUCAGUAAAAGGAUUAUCAAAGUCCGGAGGAUUUAGCUGAUCACCUAGUGUUUAUUAGUGGACAGGUAAGGAGGAGUCUUAACAUGGAAAGGUGAGUUUAUACAAGGUGGAUAUUUAAAAAAAAAUCAUUUUAUUAGAUCUAAAUGAAAUAUGUUUUAACCAAUUUUAUGUGGAUAUUGGUUGAGGCCCUAAGGGAUCAUUUGCACCUCUGUAAUUUAGGGUAAAGCAUUUAAAAGUAAUACAUUUGAUUUGCUCAAGAUUUUUUAAGCCUUUGCACUGCAGCUUCAUACUUGUAUCAAUAUAAUGCUCAUAUCAUUGAUUGUAAUAACAAUUUUUUAUGUAAAAAUUAAGGGAUGCUUCAUAUUUCAUUAUUUUGUGGUAAAAAAUACAAAUAAAGUGAACGUAUUUGCAAAAAUAAAA